Molecule: long non-coding RNA, 1420 nt
Filed under: Physcomitrium patens
Lineage: Eukaryota; Viridiplantae; Streptophyta; Bryopsida; Funariales; Funariaceae
Description: long non-coding RNA (PPAT_LNC001797)
Source: RNAcentral
AUCUGCAAAUGCCCCAACGACCACAGAAGUUCCUGGUAUCAGACACUACCAACAGGGAAAUGAAAGCACAAAUACAAACCUUUCCAAUAGGUCGAAAGCAAACAUAUUUCCAACGUCCGAAUGAGAUGUAUUGGGCCCCAAGCCCCUCCAACACUACGAAGACUGAAAAUCACCGAAGUACAAGUAGAUUACGUACCAGCCACAAAAAGGCAGUGAAUACUCCGUUAUAUAGGUACACAUCUGUGCCUUUGAGGUCCAGUAUAGUCAGGUACCUGUUAUCAUUGACGUUCUUGAAUCACAUAGCAGGCCUUCCAAUCAUUUUGAUAUUUGGAAAUCAAAAGUUUGAUACACACAGUUGGAGAAUUGGAAAUUUGAAUCCAGCACGAGAGGAUGUUUAAACGGCACAAAAAUGAUAAGGCGAUACCAGCGCAGGUUGAUGAAAGGUGUUGUACACUCCGACAAAAGAACAAUGUACAGAUACAAGUGAGCAUGCCCAGAGUGUACGGCUAAAAUCAACGCCAGCAUUGACACCAAAUGAUGCAGGAGCUGAAAACACAACAUACGUUACACAACUAUGUAAAUAAGUAGCAAAUAAGAUAAAAGAAAAGAAAAAAGAAAAAAGAAACACUCGCAACCAAAAAAUUAAAUGGAGGAAAAAUUAAAGGAAUAACAAACGCCAAAAUCACAUAAAAUCCAAUGCAAAACAUUCUGAUGCUCCCUCUCCGUAACAGAAAAAACUUACAAAUUCAUAGCCUCCUAAAGUUGGAUAGAAUGCAACUAUCAUUCCCAUGUCCGCGAUAAAAUAUCCGCAAGAAAACUAAUGAUGCAUACCACAACAAGUCAUUAAUUCUUAAGGAGAAAAUUCAAAUGCGAAUGAAGUGCAGAAAGCUGCAUGCAGGAAACAUCAAAUCUUCUCAGAGAAACGCUCAAUCAUCGAAGUCAUCAACGUGCAAAGCAAAAGAACGGACAACCUACCCCAAGACCAAAUUGGGAGAGGAUGGAGCUUCGGAACAUAACAGGUCCAUAAGGAGCAGAAUCUCGGAAAAUGUCGCUGACAUACAACAAGUAAAAUGCGAUAGCAGAUGAAACGAAAGCAUGAGCUGUUGAAAAAGCCCUGCAGAAACAUACAGAAGAGAUGAUCAACAAUUUGAACACUUAUUCGUUUUAGAGUAGUUGUAGCAUUUUCAAGAUUGCACAAGAAAUGAAUGAAACUCAACCUACACUCUACAAUGAAAUACAUAUGUGGCAUGAGAUAAAACAUAUAUGGCAUGAGAUAAAAACAUAUGUGGCAUUUCCACGGAAGCAUACCUUGUACAAGUAGCAAACGAGUGACUAAAACUAAAACAAAUUUGGAAAGACUCGACAACCUUAUAUUUUCAACUAACAGUUUUCAAUGCAUUAAUACAUGGAAAAGAAAACA